UGUGGCUUGGUGGUAGGACACUCGCCCAGUAUGGGCAAGGCCCUGGGUUCAAUCCCCAGAGCUGCAA
Molecule: transfer RNA, 67 nt
Filed under: Mus musculus (house mouse)
Lineage: Eukaryota; Metazoa; Chordata; Mammalia; Rodentia; Muridae
Description: tRNA-Thr
Source: RNAcentral